This 617-nucleotide non-coding RNA is filed under the name Suillus luteus. The record is from RNAcentral. Lineage: Eukaryota; Fungi; Basidiomycota; Agaricomycetes; Boletales; Suillaceae.
AACAGGCUGAUAGCCGGCGAGAGUACACAUUGUCCCGGCUGUUUGGCACCUUGACUAAAAUUAAUAAACAAUAUUACAAAAACUAAAUCUGUUAUGUUAAAUUUUUGUUUUAUUUAGUAAAUGUGUUAUAUUUUUUUUAUAUAAUUAAUAUUUAUUAAACUUAAAAUGACAGAACAUAUACACGAUUCAAGGAUUUUUAUAAUAAAUGAAACACUUUAAUUUUUUUAUAGAAUAAAGUGAUUAUAAUAGAUAUUGAUUUAAACAUCGGGGAAUUUUAAUAGAAAUAUUAACUUAGAAAUUGGCUAUUUGCUGAAACUUCCUUAGAGCUUUUGAAAAUAUUUAAGAAAAAUAUAAUAUCAUUUUAAUUAUUUUUAUAAUUAUCUGAAUAGAAUAAGUUAAUUAAUUUAUUUUAUUUUAUUUUAUUUUAUUUAAAUUUAAAAUUCAAAAUGAUUGGGAAAUUGGCAGGGAAGUUUUAAUUUAGAUAAUUAGUUAUCUUUAACAGAUUAAAACCCCUCAACGAUCACACGCCAACAUCCAGAACUAAAUUUUAAUUGUACUUUAAAAAUGGAUGAAGAUAUGAGCUAAAUUUAUAUGAAAAUAUAGAUGUAAAUUGCGAU